This 208-nucleotide unclassified non-coding RNA is filed under the name uncultured Basidiomycota. RNAcentral's name for it is "sequence contains ITS1". The record is from RNAcentral. Lineage: Eukaryota; Fungi; Basidiomycota.
UUGAAGUUUGAAUACUGGGGUUUGUAGCUGGCCUUUCGGGGCAUGUGCUCGCCUCACUUCAUCCAUAUCACACCUGUGCACCUAUUGUGGGUAUUUUUGAGUGGAAGGGGGGUUGGAUAACGACCUCCUGGAAGCGCAUAUACUCAUGUUUUAUACACCAUUUGUAUGUCUUAGAAUGUCUUUUUUGUGCGUUAACCCGCAUAUAAUA